RNAcentral lists this ribosomal RNA (52 nucleotides) under Serratia sp. CC22-02. RNAcentral's name for it is "16S rRNA. Bacterial SSU". The record is from RNAcentral. Lineage: Bacteria; Pseudomonadati; Pseudomonadota; Gammaproteobacteria; Enterobacterales; Yersiniaceae.
AUGGCUCAGAUUGAACGCUGGCGGCAGGCUUAACACAUGCAAGUCGAGCGGU